AAACUAUAAGGAAAAUACACAAAAGUAAUAAUUUCUAAGUCAAGUAUCACAGUCUUAAAGGGAGCUUGUAAGAAUCAGUAUAUAAUCACCAUGUAAUCAAUCAGAGAAACCUUAAGCAAAGAACACAGAAAGGUAAGGGAAUGAAACACUAGCGACAAAAUUAAAGCAAAGAGCACAGAACUCAGAGAAGAAUCCACAAGAACACACAAACAAGCAAACACGACAAUAUUACAAAUAUAAACCCAAACGCUAGGGUUUCAUCAAACUUAUGCAAAAUGUUUAGAAAUAGUACUGAGAAUCAGGACUUAGUACUCAAAAUCGGAGAUAAUGUAUUUUCAAAAGCAGAUUAGGAACCCUAGUUUCAAAAAGGAACAAACCAUUUGAAACUUGAAUAAUCGUAAAGAUCGAGUAGAGAAUAAUGCCAAACAUAAAGGUAUGAGUUGAAAAUCGUUAAAAAAUACAGAGAUUUAAGAGGUUUGGUUCGAGAUUAGGGUUUCACAAGAAGGAUAGAGAGAAGUGAGAGAAACUUGACUGUGAAACUUAGGAACAAUGGUGUUUACAACACCAUCGAAUAAAAACCCAUUAGAGAAAGGCCAUCAAAAACCAGGCAAACCUUCAGUGACGGUCUUGCAUGGUGAAGACCUAUGGAGUAUCAGGAAUGAAAAGAACCAGAUGAGUUCAGGCUUCAAGGUUGCUGGUGGUUGAAAGAGGCAAGGCUCGAGGUGGCUGUAGAGAUGGUAAACGGGAUCUGAGAAGAAGAAUCAGAAGGUUCAAGAGAGAAGGAGGAGAGGAAGAGACAGAUAGAGAGAGCGAUAAAAA
Molecule: long non-coding RNA, 819 nt
Filed under: Nicotiana benthamiana
Lineage: Eukaryota; Viridiplantae; Streptophyta; Magnoliopsida; Solanales; Solanaceae
Description: long non-coding RNA (NBEN_LNC036199)
Source: RNAcentral